CUGCUUUGGCAACACAUAUACUAAAAUUGGAAUGAUACAGAGAAUGUUGUCAGGAUCCAUGUGUAAUGAUGAUAUGCAAAUUUGUGAAACAUUCAAUUAAAAA
RNAcentral lists this small nuclear RNA (103 nucleotides) under Ictidomys tridecemlineatus (thirteen-lined ground squirrel). The record is from RNAcentral. Lineage: Eukaryota; Metazoa; Chordata; Mammalia; Rodentia; Sciuridae.